CUCAGUGUGGUUCAGAUGGUAAAACGUCUGCUUGCAAUGCAGGAGACCCAGGUUCGAUUCCUGGGUUGGGA
This 71-nucleotide transfer RNA is filed under the name Capra hircus (goat). It matches the Rfam family "tRNA". Rfam says of the family: Transfer RNA (tRNA) molecules are approximately 80 nucleotides in length. Their secondary structure includes four short double-helical elements and three loops (D, anti-codon, and T loops). RNAcentral also lists the same sequence under 1 other name. Lineage: Eukaryota; Metazoa; Chordata; Mammalia; Artiodactyla; Bovidae. The record is from Rfam by way of RNAcentral.